Molecule: ribosomal RNA, 704 nt
Filed under: uncultured cyanobacterium
Lineage: Bacteria; Bacillati; Cyanobacteriota
Description: bacterial SSU rRNA
Rfam family: Bacterial small subunit ribosomal RNA
Source: RNAcentral
AGUCGAACGAAUCCUUUCGGGGAUGAGUGGCGGACGGGUGAGUAACGCGUGAGAAUCUGCCAAAAGGACUGGGACAACCACUGGAAACGGUGGCUAAUACCAGAUGUGCCGCGACGUAAAAGAGGAAACUCGCCUUUUGAGGAGCUCGCGUCUGAUUAGCUAGUUGGUGAGGUAAAAGCUCACCAAGGCAACGAUCAGUAGCUGGUCUGAGAGGACGACCAGCCACACUGGGACUGAGACACGGCCCAGACUCCUACGGGAGGCAGCAGUGGGGAAUUUUCCGCAAUGGGCGAAAGCCUGACGGAGCAAGACCGCGUGAGGGAGGAAGGCUCUUGGGUCGUAAACCUCUUUUGUCAGGGAAGAACACAAUGACGGUACCUGACGAAUCAGCAUCGGCUAACUCCGUGCCAGCAGCCGCGGUAAUACGGAGGAUGCAAGCGUUAUCCGGAAUUAUUGGGCGUAAAGCGUCCGUAGAUGGUUUUGCCAGUCGGCUGUCAAAGCGCAGGGCUUAACCCUGUAAAGGCAGUGGAAACUACAAGACUAGAGUGCAGUAGGGGCAGAGGGAAUUCCCAGUGUAGCGGUGAAAUGCGUAGAGAUUGGGAAGAACACCCGUGGCGAAAGCGCUCUGCUGGACUGCAACUGACAUUGAGGGACGAAAGCUAGGGGAGCGAAUGGGAUUAGAUACCCCAGUAGUCCUAGCCGUA